UACGUGGGGGGCAAGCGUUGUUCGGAAUUACUGGGCGUAAAGGGUUCGUAGGUGGCCAACUAAGUCAGACGUGAAAUCCCUCAGCUUAACUGGGGAACUGCGUCUGAUACUGGUUGGCUUGAGUGCAGGAGAGGAACGCGGAAUUCCAGGUGUAGCGGUGAAAUGCGUAGAUAUCUGGAGGAACACCGGUGGCGAAGGCGGCGUUCUGGACUGCAACUGACACUGAGGAACGAAAGCCAGGGUAGCAAACGGG
Molecule: ribosomal RNA, 253 nt
Filed under: uncultured bacterium
Lineage: Bacteria
Description: partial 16S ribosomal RNA
Rfam family: Bacterial small subunit ribosomal RNA
Source: RNAcentral